AAUCAACGCUGGCGGCGUGCCUCAGACAUGCAAGUCGAACGAUUAAACUUUCCUUCGGGAAAGAUAUAAAGUGGCGCACGGGUGAGUAACACGUAGGUAAUGUACCUUUGGGUGGGGAAUAACCAUCGGAAACGAUGGCUAAUACCGCAUAAUGCAGCGGCAUCGCAAGAUGACAGUUGUUAAAGCGAGCAAUCGCGCCUAAAGAGCAGCCUGCGGCAGAUUAGGAGUUGGUAAGGUAAUGGCUUACCAAGCCUGCGAUCUGUAACCGACCUGAGAGGGUGGUCGGUCACACUGACACUGAAUAACGGGUCAGACUCCUACGGGAGGCAGCAGUCGGGAAUUUUGGGCAAUGGGCGAAAGCCUGACCCAGCAACGCCGCGUGAAGGACGAAGUCUUUCGGGA
This 402-nucleotide ribosomal RNA is filed under the name uncultured bacterium. Its description in RNAcentral is "bacterial SSU rRNA". It matches the Rfam family "Bacterial small subunit ribosomal RNA", at positions 32 to 423 of the family's 1533-position model. The record is from RNAcentral.